This 1489-nucleotide long non-coding RNA is filed under the name Capsicum annuum. RNAcentral's name for it is "long non-coding RNA (CANN_LNC013407)". The record is from RNAcentral. Lineage: Eukaryota; Viridiplantae; Streptophyta; Magnoliopsida; Solanales; Solanaceae.
UCAGGAGUUGGACACGUCGAGAAGAAUUAGUAACAGCAUCAACCAUUGAGAAAGUUGUGAAGACAUUGAUGGGCACGACGGAAGGGGAAGAGAUGAGGCAAAGGGCAGUGGAAUUGAGCAAAAAGAUCAAGAGCUCUGUCCGCGAUGGAGGACCUGCACGCAAGGAAAUGGAAUCUUUCAUUGCAAAUAUUAUCAAAUAACUUCCUGCUUGUGUGUGUGUGUGUGUGAUGAUUGUGGGGGGUGUCUGUCUCCUAUGAUAUAGUAUCCUUAAAAUUAGUGAAGGUAGGUUGAAUGUCCUUCCGAUUUGUUCUCUAAGUUCUAUUUCUCCUCCCUUGGAAUAAACUUGAUAGCAAAAGCCAGAAGUCAUAUAUGGCUAAUAUGAGUGUAUCAGAUAUGUUCAAUCUUCAUAUCCUUAUAGUGAAAUUGAACUGUUUUAAGAACAUCGUAGCAGGGUCAAUUUCACAUAUGGUCACUAAAGUUUACCCAUUCUGUAUCAGUAAAGUCACAAUACUAUUGUUCGUCUCACUAAAGUCACUUAAUUGUAAUUCAAUGCCACUUCAGUAGACUCAAGUUGAUCAAUUCUGUGUUGGACUCGUCGCCUACUUAUGUCAUGUCUCUUCCCCAUUCCAACUAAAGUGUCCAAAAAGUUGGACACAGCCAGACAGACCGUGGGUGCACUAAUGUUGUAUCUAGUCCAUAUGGAACCUCAGUGUGGAGAAAGAUCAGGAACAUUAUUAGACGAGUUAACAGAAUUGAUUGAGGUAGAUGAAUUAGGAGAAUUAUGUAAAAUCACCUCAAAGAGUGUCGGCAGAGAACAGGAAUCCUAGAACAGAUCAAUUGAGACUCCCUCCACAGUCCAUUGAUGAUCUCUGAGUACUUGUUCUGAUUGUUCUUAAAACUUUGAGAGAAAGACGGAAAGAUUGAGCGACCAGAUGGGUUUGAAGAGAGAGUGAAAGGAAGAGGAAUGGUGGUAAAUUGGGCACCGCAGUUGGAAAUCUUGAGGCAUCCAUCUACGGGGGCUUUUUAGAGUCACUGCGGGUGGAAUUCUUGAAUCGAGAGCAUGAGCAUGGGAGUGCCUCUAGCAACUUGGCCGGUCAGUUACGAUCAGCCAUUUAACGCUAUUUCUGUAACCAAUUUGCUAAAGAUCGGAAUACCUGUCAAGUGUUGGUCUCACCGGGAGGAAUUGGUAACAGCAUCAACCAUUGAGAAAGCUGUGAAGACAUUGAUGGGCACGACAGAAGGAGAAGAGAUGAGGCAAAGGGCAUUUACAUUGAGCAACAAGAUCAAGAGCUCUGUUAGCGAUGGCGGACCAGCACGCAAGGAAAUGGAAUCUUUCAUUUCAACUAUUAUCGAAUGACCUUCCUAAUUUGUUGUCUUUCUAGGACAAGGAAACAACCUAUUUCUACCAAAAUUAAAAUAACUAAUUAGUUUCCUACCAAAGAUAGGACUCCUAAUUUAACUAGGAUUGUACGUAAAAAAUAUGCUGGAG